GUUCAUGGCAAUUCAAAUGUCAGCACUCAGCUGAAAGAUUUAAGAUUCUAUUUACAGUCAUACAGACAUAGUAAUCUAUAAAAUCUUUUCUUCUUUUUUUUUUUCCUUUUUUUUGGUCUCUUGUUUCCCCUGUCUCCUAAUUUAUUCCCUCUCACAUUUCUAUCUCCACUCUUAAAUAGAACCAACCCCAUUCAAAAAACAUCACCUGGUAGGGAUGAGGUCAUUUUCAUGCCAGAUUUAUUUUGAAUGUCUUCACAGGAGGAGACCACAACCUAUCUGGGCAGCCUGAGCCAGUGUUCAGUUGCCCUCAUAGUAAAUACUUGGUUCCUAAUGUUCAGGAGGAAAUUCUUGUCCUUCUGUUAGUGCCAGCUGCCUCUUGUUUCAUCUCUGGAUACCUUGAGAGAACCUGGCUCCAUUUUCUCUGAAGUGCUUAUGGAAGACAGUUGAAAAAGUCUCACUGAAGGCAGGGGAGAAAAUAUCCACUGCCCCCUCCUCAUCUAUCAAACCUGUUAUUUCAAGACAGAAACUUCCCAGGUUGCUCUAGCUUCCAACUUCCCCUCAGUGAAUCCAUGCUGACUACUCAGAAUCACCCUCUUGACCUCUAGGUGCGUGGAAAAAAAGUCUCCAUGGCUAGCUUUUGUAUCAGCUUCUGAAGGAUCAAGGAUGAGACUGACCAGCCUUUAGUUUCCCAGCAAUUCUUUCUUAUUCUCCUGAAAAUAAGAGUGUCAUUUGCUUUUCUGCAGGUCUCAAGUACUUCUCCUGAUUGCCAUGAUGAAUCAAGGUUUACUAAGAGAAGCCUUGUAAUGAGGUCAGCCUGCUUCCUCAGCAUAGGUGGCAAAAUCCCAUCAGGGGGAGAAAGAGUUCUGUCACACUUGAAACCACAAGAGUUCUAUUCCCCUCUCUUUGGGUCCUGAAUUUCACCACUUUCUGAACACAGCAGUCAAAUGUGCCUUUGACCUUCACAUGGAAAGAAAACAUCAUAAUGGUUGAACUCCCUCAUGAAUACUAGAGUCUGCGAAUGUGAUGCUGCUUCUAUCUGUUUUUAGAAGGCCUUGAACAAUUUUUCUUCCUACUCAUUUUUUCUUCAGCCUAAUAUCUAGAGAUUUUCAAGUUUGUAUCUUCCAGAUUUGUCAAUCAUUCAACUUCUCAUUGAUAAGUUUUGAAAUAAAG
Molecule: long non-coding RNA, 1170 nt
Organism: Gallus gallus (chicken)
Lineage: Eukaryota; Metazoa; Chordata; Aves; Galliformes; Phasianidae
Source: Ensembl